AGUGAACGCUGGCGGUAGGCCUAACACAUGCAAGUCGAACGGCAGCACAGUAAGCGCUUGCUCUUACGGGUGGCGAGUGGCGGACGGGUGAGGAAUACAUCGGAAUCUACUUUUUCGUGGGGGAUAACGUAGGGAAACUUACGCUACUACCGCAUACGACCUACGGGUGAAAGCAGGGGAUCUUCGGACCUUGCGCGAUUGAAUGAGCCGAUGUCGGAUUAGCUAGUUGGCGGGGUAAAGGCCCACCAAGGCGACGAUCCGUAGCUGGUCUGAGAGGAUGAUCAGCCACACUGGAACUGAGACACGGUCCAGACUCCUACGGGAGGCAGCAGUGGGGAAUAUUGGACAAUGGGCGCAAGCCUGAUCCAGCCAUACCGCGUGGGUGAAGAAGGCCUUCGGGUUGUAAAGCCCUUUUGUUGGGAAAGAAAAGCAGCAGGUUAAUACCCCGCUGUUCUGACGGUACCCAAAGAAUAAGCACCGGCUAACUUCGUG
This 492-nucleotide ribosomal RNA is filed under the name uncultured bacterium. Its description in RNAcentral is "partial 16S ribosomal RNA". It matches the Rfam family "Bacterial small subunit ribosomal RNA", at positions 29 to 507 of the family's 1533-position model. The record is from RNAcentral.